GACUAAGCGUACACGGUGGAUGCCCUGGCAGUCAGAGGCGAUGAAGGACGUGCUAAUCUGCGAAAAGCGUCGGUAAGGUGAUAUGAACCGUUAUAACCGGCGAUGUCCGAAUGGGGAAACCCAGUGCAAUUCGUUGCACUAUCGUUAACUGAAUACAUAGGUUAACGAGGCGAACCGGGGGAACUGAAACAUCUAAGUACCCCGAGGAAAAGAAAUCAACCGAGAUUCCCCCAGUAGCGGCGAGCGAACGGGGAGCAGCCCAGAGUCUGAAUCAGCUUGUGUGUUAGUGGAACGGUCUGGAAAGUCCGACGGUACAGGGUGAUAGUCCCGUACACCAAAAUGCACAGGCUGUGAACUCGAAGAGUAGGGCGGGACACGUGGUAUCCUGUCUGAAUAUGGGGGGACCAUCCUCCAAGGCUAAAUACUCCUGACUGACCGAUAGUGAACCAGUACCGUGAGGGAAAGGCGAAAAGAACCCCGGCGAGGGGAGUGAAAAAGAACCUGAAACCGUGUACGUACAAGCAGUGGGAGCACCUUCGGGUGUGACUGCGUACCUUUUGUAUAAUGGGUCAGCGACUUAUAUUCUGUAGCAAGGUUAACCGUAUAGGGGAGCCGCAGGGAAACCGAGUCUUAACUGGGCGUUAAGUUGCAGGGUAUAGACCCGAAACCCGGUGAUCUAGCCAUGGGCAGGUUGAAGGUUGGGUAACACUAACUGGAGGACCGAACCGACUAAUGUUGAAAAAUUAGCGGAUGACUUGUGGCUGGGGGUGAAAGGCCAAUCAAACCGGGAGAUAGCUGGUUCUCCCCGAAAGCUAUUUAGGUAGCGCCUCGUGAACUCAUCUUCGGGGGUAGAGCACUGUUUCGGCUAGGGGGUCAUCCCGACUUACCAACCCGAUGCAAACUACGAAUACCGAAGAAUGUUAUCACGGGAGACACACGGCGGGUGCUAACGUCCGUCGUGAAGAGGGAAACAACCCAGACCGCCAGCUAAGGUCCCAAAGUCAUGGUUAAGUGGGAAACGAUGUGGGAAGGCACAGACAGCCAGGAUGUUGGCUUAGAAGCAGCCAUCAUUUAAAGAAAGCGUAAUAGCUCACUGGUCGAGUCGGCCUGCGCGGAAGAUGUAACGGGGCUAAACCAUGCACCGAAGCUGCGGCAGCGACACUAUGUGUUGUUGGGUAGGGGAGCGUUCUGUAAGCCUGCGAAGGUGUGCUGUGAGGCAUGCUGGAGGUAUCAGAAGUGCGAAUGCUGACAUAAGUAACGAUAAAGCGGGUGAAAAGCCCGCUCGCCGGAAGACCAAGGGUUCCUGUCCAACGUUAAUCGGGGCAGGGUGAGUCGACCCCUAAGGCGAGGCCGAAAGGCGUAGUCGAUGGGAAACAGGUUAAUAUUCCUGUACUUGGUGUUACUGCGAAGGGGGGACGGAGAAGGCUAUGUUAGCCGGGCGACGGUUGUCCCGGUUUAAGCAUGUAGGCUGGUUAUCCAGGCAAAUCCGGAUAAUCAAGGCUGAGGUGUGAUGACGAGGCACUACGGUGCUGAAGUAACAAAUGCCCUGCUUCCAGGAAAAGCCUCUAAGCAUCAGGUAACAUCAAAUCGUACCCCAAACCGACACAGGUGGUCAGGUAGAGAAUACCAAGGCGCUUGAGAGAACUCGGGUGAAGGAACUAGGCAAAAUGGUGCCGUAACUUCGGGAGAAGGCACGCUGGUGUGUAGGUGAAGUCCCUGCGGAUGGAGCUGAGACCAGUCGAAGAUACCAGCUGGCUGCAACUGUUUAUUAAAAACACAGCACUGUGCAAACACGAAAGUGGACGUAUACGGUGUGACGCCUGCCCGGUGCCGGAAGGUUAAUUGAUGGGGUUAUCCGUAAGGAGAAGCUCUUGAUCGAAGCCCCGGUAAACGGCGGCCGUAACUAUAACGGUCCUAAGGUAGCGAAAUUCCUUGUCGGGUAAGUUCCGACCUGCACGAAUGGCGUAAUGAUGGCCAGGCUGUCUCCACCCGAGACUCAGUGAAAUUGAACUCGCUGUGAAGAUGCAGUGUACCCGCGGCAAGACGGAAAGACCCCGUGAACCUUUACUAUAGCUUGACACUGAACAUUGAGCCUUGAUGUGUAGGAUAGGUGGGAGGCUUUGAAGCGUGGACGCCAGUCUGCGUGGAGCCAACCUUGAAAUACCACCCUUUAAUGUUUGAUGUUCUAACGUUGGCCCCUGACCGGGGUUGCGGACAGUGUCUGGUGGGUAGUUUGACUGGGGCGGUCUCCUCCCAAAGCGUAACGGAGGAGCACGAAGGUUAGCUAAUCCUGGUCGGACAUCAGGAGGUUAGUGCAAUGGCAUAAGCUAGCUUGACUGCGAGCGUGACGGCGCGAGCAGGUGCGAAAGCAGGUCAUAGUGAUCCGGUGGUUCUGAAUGGAAGGGCCAUCGCUCAACGGAUAAAAGGUACUCCGGGGAUAACAGGCUGAUACCGCCCAAGAGUUCAUAUCGACGGCGGUGUUUGGCACCUCGAUGUCGGCUCAUCACAUCCUGGGGCUGAAGUAGGUCCCAAGGGUAUGGCUGUUCGCCAUUUAAAGUGGUACGCGAGCUGGGUUUAGAACGUCGUGAGACAGUUCGGUCCCUAUCUGCCGUGGGCGCUGGAGAAUUGAGGGGGGCUGCUCCUAGUACGAGAGGACCGGAGUGGACGCAUCACUGGUGUUCGGGUUGUCAUGCCAAUGGCACUGCCCGGUAGCUAAAUGCGGAAGAGAUAAGUGCUGAAAGCAUCUAAGCACGAAACUUGCCCCGAGAUGAGUUCUCCCUGAGACUUUAAGUCUCCUGAAGGAACGUUAAAGACGAUGACGUUGAUAGGCCGGGUGUGUAAGCGCAGCGAUGCGUUGAGCUAACCGGUACUAAUGAACCGUGAGGCUUAACCUU
Molecule: ribosomal RNA, 2894 nt
Filed under: Klebsiella pneumoniae
Lineage: Bacteria; Pseudomonadati; Pseudomonadota; Gammaproteobacteria; Enterobacterales; Enterobacteriaceae
Description: bacterial LSU rRNA
Rfam family: Bacterial large subunit ribosomal RNA
Source: RNAcentral